This 1052-nucleotide long non-coding RNA is filed under the name Fukomys damarensis (Damara mole-rat). Its description in RNAcentral is "lncRNA (ENSFDAG00000030120.1)". The record is from RNAcentral. Lineage: Eukaryota; Metazoa; Chordata; Mammalia; Rodentia; Bathyergidae.
CCACCUCAGGGAAUGACGCUCAGGCCAAUAGGAAGGGCACUCCAUUCCGUCGACGCCAAGGGUCGGGGCUCCGAGAAAGGCGAGCUGGGUGGGAGUCCGGCCAGGCUGGCUGCCGAGGGAGCGCUGGGCCCUGCUUGUGGAUGCCGGACGCUCCUGCAGCGUGGCGCCCGCGGACCCCGACUCUCGCUCCGUCCCCGGCAUCCUCACGGGCUGUUCCGUGAGGCCCGUUCCUUCUCUUCUGUAUUUCCCCCUUCGCUUUCACUGUUCGCCUUUUUACAAUUGCUGAAACCAUAAUGAUAGAAUGGAAUGUGUAGCCUUUCCGUUUUCUUUUCCUUCCUCUCUCUCUCUCUCUCUCUCCCUCUCUCUCUCUCUCUCUCUCUCUCUCUCUCUCUCUCUUUCUUUUUCUUUCUUUCUUUCUUUUCUUUCCCCGAAGGCUUAGCAAAAGGAAAAAGAAAAGAAUGCCGAAUCGAGUGCAGGUUUUCUUUUCUUUCUUUUUUUUUAUUUCAAGGGGCAUAAAACAAACCGCAGGUUUUUCUUUUAUCCAUCUACAUGCAAAAUUGGGCUGAAGAAAUGGAAUUGCAUAUAAAUGACAGCACGUAAAGAUUAAAAAUGCAUGGACGCAGAGUCUUUAAAAUUUCACCAUGACAUAUAAUAUUAAUCCGUUUUAUGUAAAAUUCAUACCUGUAACUUAAUUUAGGCCAUUCAGGCACGGCUUCACAUAGCCAGCGUACCCGCUUUAAAUGAGGUGAUAAGAAUACGCGGAGUCUCCUGCUCAGGCAACAAAGCCUUAAAAUUCACACUGUGUGUGUAGGAGGGCGGCCAUGGGUCCCUACGCUGUAACAAAAGCCUGUUAAUUAGGGAUGUUUUGUGUUAGAUUUCUAACAGAAGAGCUGUCCUUCAAGGGUCCAAAAUAAAACUGCACAGGGAACUCUGGCGGGGCGUUGUGUGUACCCUCCAAGAAAUAAUUGAGCCCUUUAGACGAGAACCGAACAUAAGAACUCUCAGUCGCCAGGGAAAUGAAUUUUGAGCGCUUCCCCAGACGACCCUCCUAC